RNAcentral lists this small RNA (107 nucleotides) under Marmota monax (woodchuck). The record is from RNAcentral. Lineage: Eukaryota; Metazoa; Chordata; Mammalia; Rodentia; Sciuridae.
GCCUGGUGUGGUGGCUCACACCUGUAAUUCCAGCUGCUGGGGAGGCUGAGGCAGGGGUAUUGCAAGUUCAAAGCCAGCCUCAGCAACUUAGGAAGACCUUGUCUCAA